UUCGGGUCGCCGGCGAGUGGCAAACGGGUGAGUAACGCGUGGAUACCUGUCCUGUGGUGGGGAAUAACGUUUAGAAAUGAACGCUAAUACCGCAUAAGCCCUGCGGGGGAAAGAUUUAUCGCCAUAGGAGGGGUCCGCGUCGGAUUAGCUAGUUGGUGGGGUAACGGCCUACCAAGGCGACGAUCCGUAGCUGGUCUGAGAGGAUGAUCAGCCACACUGGGACUGAGACACGGCCCAGACUCCUACGGGAGGCAGCAGUGGGGAAUAUUGCGCAAUGGAGGAAACUCUGACGCAGCGACGCCGCGUGGGUGAAGAAGGCCUUAGGGUUGUAAAGCCCUUUCAGUGGGAAAGAUGAUGACGGUACCCACAGAAGAAGCCCCGGCUAACUCCGUGCCAGCAGCCGCGGUAAUACGGAGGGGGCCAGCGUUGUUCGGAACUACUGGGCGUAAAGGGCGCGUAGGCGGUUGAUCAAG
RNAcentral lists this ribosomal RNA (473 nucleotides) under uncultured Magnetococcus sp. RNAcentral describes it as "bacterial SSU rRNA". It matches the Rfam family "Bacterial small subunit ribosomal RNA", at positions 79 to 587 of the family's 1533-position model. The record is from RNAcentral. Lineage: Bacteria; Pseudomonadati; Pseudomonadota; Magnetococcia; Magnetococcales; Magnetococcaceae.